CAGCAGCCGCGGUAAUACGUAGGGUGCAAGCGUUAAUCGGAAUUACUGGGCGUAAAGCGUGCGCAGGCGGUUUGUUAAGACAGGUGUGAAAUCCCCGGGCUCAACCUGGGGACUGCAUUUGUGACUGGCAAGCUAGAGUGUGGCAGAGGGGGGUGGAAUUCCGCGUGUAGCAGUGAAAUGCGUAGAGAUGUGGAGGAAUACCGAUGGCGAAGGCAGCCCCCUGGGCCAAUACUGACGCUCAUGCACGAAAGCGUGGGGAGCAAACAGGAUUAGAUACCCCGGUAGUCCCUGUCUCUUAUAC
This 301-nucleotide ribosomal RNA is filed under the name uncultured bacterium. Its description in RNAcentral is "partial 16S ribosomal RNA". It matches the Rfam family "Bacterial small subunit ribosomal RNA", at positions 509 to 807 of the family's 1533-position model. The record is from RNAcentral.